GUGGGGAAUAUUGGACAAUUGGGGGAACCCUGAUCCAGCCAUGCCGCGUGUGUGAAGAAGGCCUUUUGGUUGUAAAGCACUUUAAGCGAGGAGGAGGCUACCGAGAUUAAUACUCUUGGAUAGUGGACGUUACUCGCAGAAUAAGCACCGGCUAACUCUGUGCCAGCAGCCGCGGUAAUACAGAGGGUGCAAGCGUUAAUCGGAUUUACUGGGCGUAAAGCGCGCGUAGGUGGCCAAUUAAGUCAAAUGUGAAAUCCCCGAGCUUAACUUGGGAAUUGCAUUCGAUGCUGGUGGGCUGGAGUAUGGGAGAGGAUGGUAGAAUUCCAGGUGUAGCGGUGAAAUGCGUAGAGAUCUGGAGGAAUACCGAUGGCGAAGGCAGCCAUCUGGCCUAAUACUGACACUGAGGUGCGAAAGCAUGGGGAGCAAACAGGAUUAGAUACCCUGGUAGUCC
RNAcentral lists this ribosomal RNA (451 nucleotides) under uncultured bacterium. Its description in RNAcentral is "partial 16S ribosomal RNA". It matches the Rfam family "Bacterial small subunit ribosomal RNA", at positions 354 to 796 of the family's 1533-position model. The record is from RNAcentral.